Monodelphis domestica (gray short-tailed opossum) is the source of this 65-nucleotide microRNA precursor. Ensembl annotates it as mdo-mir-92a-2. Its record names the gene mdo-mir-92a-2. The record is from Ensembl. NCBI's taxonomy places the organism in Eukaryota, Metazoa, Chordata, Mammalia, Didelphimorphia, Didelphidae.
GGGUGGGGAUUUGUUGCAUUACUUGAUCAUGUGACUAUAAGAGUAUUGCACUUGUCCCGGCCUGU